UAUUCCACUCAGAAAAUUAACACCAAUUCAGCUAAAUAGCUAAUACACAAACACAAAGGAAAAUUAUACAAACCAAGUUCAUGUUGUUGCUUGAAUGAACUCUUCGCCAUCCUAAUUAUGCAACUUAGAAUGAUCUGG
Molecule: long non-coding RNA, 138 nt
Organism: Ipomoea nil (Japanese morning glory)
Lineage: Eukaryota; Viridiplantae; Streptophyta; Magnoliopsida; Solanales; Convolvulaceae
Exons: 3
Source: RefSeq, a predicted model, not a curated record